AACGAACGCUGGCGGCGUGGAUUAGGCAUGCAAGUCGAACGGUAUCAUCCUUUCGGGGGUGAGAGAGUGGCGAACUGGUGAGUAACACGUAGGUUAUCUACCCUCAAGACGGGGACAACCCAGGGAAACUUGGGCUAAUACCGGAUGUGAGCAACUUUUAGUUGUUUGAAAGGUGGCGUAAGCUGUCGCUUGGGGAUGAGCCUGCGUCCUAUUAGUUAGUUGGUGAGGUAACGGCUCACCUAGGCAAUGAUAGGUAGGCGGCCUUAACGGGUGGUCGCCCACACUGGGAUUGAGAUACGGCCCAGACUCCUACGGGAGGCAGCAGUCGAGAAUAGUCUACAAUGGUCGGAAGACUGAUAGUGCGACGCCGCGUGAACGAUGAAUCCCUUCGGGGUGUAAAGUUCUUUUAUAUGUGAGCAGUGCUUCUUAUAUUAACAGUAUGGGGAGAGAGAUAUUAGCAUAUGAAUAAGCAACGGCUAACUCCGUGCCAGCAGCCGCGGUAAUCUA
This 507-nucleotide ribosomal RNA is filed under the name uncultured bacterium. Its description in RNAcentral is "bacterial SSU rRNA". It matches the Rfam family "Bacterial small subunit ribosomal RNA", at positions 29 to 527 of the family's 1533-position model. The record is from RNAcentral.